RNAcentral lists this unclassified non-coding RNA (233 nucleotides) under uncultured fungus. RNAcentral describes it as "partial contains 18S rRNA, ITS1 and 5.8S rRNA". The record is from RNAcentral. Lineage: Eukaryota; Fungi.
AGGUGAACCUGCGGAAGGAUCAUUACCAAUCCAACCUUACAUACAACUGUGCACUUGUUUAUGUCCUUGGGAGGAAGUAGGUUUGUUGCAGCCUCGAGUUGCAGCUAGCCAAGCGCCUCCCAAAUGUUUUAAACAACUGUUAAACAAUUUUGUUGACAAACUUUUCUGCUGCUUCUCAGCACAGAAAUAUUUUAACAAAAUACAACUUUUAACGGUGGAUCUCUUGGCUCAUG